GACGAACGCUGGCGGCGUGCUUAACACAUGCAAGUCGAACGGAAAGGCCCGGCUUUUGUGGGGUGCUCGAGUGGCGAACGGGUGAGUAACACGUGAGUAACCUGCCCUUGACUUUGGGAUAACUUCAGGAAACUGGGGCUAAUACCGGAUAGGAGCUCCUGCUGCAUGGGGGGGGUUGGAAAGUUUCGGCGGUUGUGGAUGGACUCGCGGCUUAUCAGCUUGUUGGUGGGGUAGUGGCUGACCAAGGCUUUGACGGGUAGCCGGCCUGAGAGGGUGACCGGCCACAUUGGGACUGAGAUACGGCCCAGACUCCAACGGGAGGCAGCAGUGGGGAAUAUUGCACAAUGGGCGGAAGCCUGAUGCAGCAACGCCGCGUGCGGGAUGACGUCCUUCGGGUUGUAAACCGCUUUCGCCUGUGACGAAGCGUGAGUGACGGUAAUGGGUAAAGAAGCACCGGCUAACUACGUG
Molecule: ribosomal RNA, 468 nt
Filed under: uncultured bacterium
Lineage: Bacteria
Description: partial 16S ribosomal RNA
Rfam family: Bacterial small subunit ribosomal RNA
Source: RNAcentral